GCCUGAGUGGCUCAGUCAGUUAAGCGUCUGACUUCAGCUCAGGUCAUGAUCUCACAGUCUGUGGGUUCGAGCCCCACGUCAGGCU
RNAcentral lists this transfer RNA (85 nucleotides) under Felis catus (domestic cat). It matches the Rfam family "tRNA". Rfam says of the family: Transfer RNA (tRNA) molecules are approximately 80 nucleotides in length. Their secondary structure includes four short double-helical elements and three loops (D, anti-codon, and T loops). Further hydrogen bonds mediate the characteristic L-shaped molecular structure. tRNAs have two regions of fundamental functional importance: the anti-codon, which is responsible for specific mRNA codon recognition, and the 3' end, to which the tRNAs corresponding amino acid is attached (by aminoacyl-tRNA synthetases). tRNAs cope with the degeneracy of the genetic code in two manners: having more than one tRNA (with a specific anti-codon) for a particular amino acid; and 'wobble' base-pairing, i.e. permitting non-standard base-pairing at the 3rd anti-codon position. Lineage: Eukaryota; Metazoa; Chordata; Mammalia; Carnivora; Felidae. The record is from Rfam by way of RNAcentral.